Odocoileus virginianus texanus is the source of this 1598-nucleotide non-coding RNA. Lineage: Eukaryota; Metazoa; Chordata; Mammalia; Artiodactyla; Cervidae. The record is from RefSeq and is a predicted model, not a curated record.
CCUCCAAGGAGCUGACAGUUGGUAGAACAACAGGCAUAUGAGCAAAUAAGCUUGACCACGUGCCUCAGGAAGAUGUGGGGCCCAAGUGAGAGCACAGAGGAGCGCCACCUGUGAAGAGGGGAUCACAUGUGGAGAUGGCCUAGCUAGAGAAAUUGUAACACUGAUGCCUUGAUGGACUUCCUCCUUCCCAGAGAAGAGCUACAGAUACUUCCUCCAGAUCAAAGAUAAGGAGUAAAGCCCAGCAGGGGUGGGGGAAGGGGAAAAGAAAUACAGCCUUUCAUGGAUCUUUAUUUUCAUAGCUUCCACCCCAUCCUCUCAACUUAGAUUUCCCUGGGACAACUGGUACACCCUAUUCCAUCACUCUUUUAUUCCUGACGGUCUACCUUCUUUUACAUUUUAGGUUACCGUGCAAGAUACCUGAAUAAUUCUGUCAGGGUGAAACAAUAGGAGUCAAUCCAUUGGUUCAAGUGCCCUAGAUCCAAGUUUCAUUUUGUUUUAAAGCAACAAGCAAGUACCUUCUCUCUGAAAUCUCUCCUGUAGCAUAUAAGAAAAGUCAAAUUAGGCCUAUCUGACACAAAAUUAUUGAAGUAAAGAAAGAGGAGUGAGAGAGCCCCACUCUUUCCCCUGAUAGAUGUUCAUCUGAAUGUCUUUUGUCAGCUUGAACAGUAGGGUCACCUGGUGUAGCCCCCACCCCUGAAAAACCUGGCUCUAUCCAUGUGGACCAAUGAUUGAGGGAGUGUUAAGUACAUAACAAGAAAGGAGGAAGCUAAACACCUUUCCUGUCAAGAGCAGAAACUAUGCUUUAAUCUUCUUUAUAUCCCCACAGCCUAGUGUAGGGCUUGGCAUGAGACAAUGCAUCAAUAAAGGUCUGCUGAAUUGAAGAAAACUUUGGAAAUGAGGAGGCCUGGGAGCACUGUGGUUCAGUGCAAGUUGAAUGACAGCUGGCAAUGGCCUUUAGGAACAGAAGACAAGGAAAAACAGAUUAGGGGAACGGAUUGGAGGUGUGUGUUCACAAAAGGAGAAAGUGAGUUUUGGGAAAUCUAUGUGAGCAGGAAACCAGGAAAUGACCACUUUCAAUACCCAAGACCAUAAGCAGAGAAGUCUGACCUGAAAUGUUGACAUGACUCUUCUUCCUGAGCCGCAGAAUAGAUGAGAUGAGACACUGUCAAAGAAGGGUAUCAAGAAUGAUGGAGAAAGCUAUGUUGGGAAACAGUGUGGUUUUUGGAAAAGAAAGUCUUUGACAAACUGUGAAGACAAUGAAAUGAAUGAGGAGAGAAAAUGAAGAUAAUUUAUAACAGGGUGAGUGAGAGAUACUAGAACAGAAUUUAAAUUUUUUACUGAUGAUUAGUUUUCAUUUUACUGAUGAUUAGUUUGACUGCAAGUAACAGAAAACCCCCCCAAAGAGGGGUUGACACAAAAUAGGAGAUUAUUUUUGUCUCAGGUGACAGUCCAGUUCAGCCAUCCAGGGCUAGUGUGAAAGGCUCUUCAAAGUCCUCAAGGCCUCAGGCACUCCUUAGCCACCUACCCUGUCAUCCCCAAGAGUGGUCAACCUCCUCAUGGUCCAGGAUGGGUCCUGGCAGAGGGACUGGAGAAAAGAA